Crinalium epipsammum PCC 9333 is the source of this 156-nucleotide regulatory RNA element. It matches the Rfam family "Ribosomal protein L10 leader". Rfam says of the family: This family is a putative r-protein leader autoregulatory structure found in B. subtilis and other low-GC Gram-positive bacteria. NCBI's taxonomy places the organism in Bacteria, Bacillati, Cyanobacteriota, Cyanophyceae, Gomontiellales, Gomontiellaceae. The record is from Rfam.
CAAUUAACUGAAUAGACACCAAAGACAGCAGGCGCUAUUGCUUAAUAUCCUGCCGAGGUUGAUUGAGACAGAAUUAGUCUUGCCACUAAAAAAAUGGCGCGACCAAAAAUGUCAACCAAAACCUCGGCUUAAUAUCCGGGGUUUUGUUUUGGCUUU